RNAcentral lists this ribosomal RNA (120 nucleotides) under Sus scrofa (pig). The record is from RNAcentral. Lineage: Eukaryota; Metazoa; Chordata; Mammalia; Artiodactyla; Suidae.
GUCUACGGCCAUACCACCCUGAAUGCACCCGAUCUCAUCAGAAUGUGACAUUUAAGCUGGGACCUGCUUGAUGAGGGGAAGCAAGAUACGCAGAAGGCUGAGAUACAAGCAUUCUAGAUA